CUACAUAACAUAUUACCACAGACUUAGCCACUUAAAACAACCCUCCUUUAUGAGCUCACAGGGAUGUGGUCCACAGGCUAGGAGAGGGCUGGGUCCUUAGGGUCUCACAGGGUCAAAAUGGAGGCAGAUGCUGGAUGGCGCGCUUAUCUGGACGUCCUUGAGAAGAAGAAUCAGCUUUCGACCUCCUUCAGGCUGUUGACAGAAUUCAGAUCCUGUGGCUGGUGAGGACGGAGGACCCCUUCCUUGCUGGCUGUCAGGAUGCAGGUUCCCAGGUACUGCUACAAGGCUGAUGGAGAAAGGGAUGGCAACAGGAGCGUCAGACAAAGAAGCUCAUUCUAUAGACCCAGCAGGGCCAGCACUGACCAACAGAUGCACCAUCACCUCGGGAGGCAGGUUCAUUCUCUCUCUAGACAGGCUCGAGAAUGGAGACAGAAAAUGGAGGUAACUUGCCCAAGGCCACUCUGUAGACCAGGCAAUUUGAAAGGAAGAGAGGAUUUAGGCGCCAUACUCAAGGUUACCUGGGUAAGAAAUGAUGGAGCAAGAAUGUCACCCAUGGGACCACACCCCUGAAUCUAUAAAUUGGAGUGUUUCUGCAAAUUCUAAGAGGUUCUUAACAUUAUCCAGAAUGGUGCCCUGGUGGACGAUCAUGCACCUUGCUGGCGAGGCGCUUUCUUCAGGGUCUUCAUCAUUAUAGUGUCUCUGAAAUUACAAAGUAAGGGAAAUAAAGACAAAGGUCUGAUUGGAAGCUGCAAAUACAAUGGGUGUAGCCAAUAUGGUCAUGAGGUGCCGCACAGCCCAAAGAGCCUCACUGUGACAACACCACCAACCAAAUUUGGCUCCUGCAGAAAUCUUUGUGAAUGUUAUUUCAGACUUAAGGGAGUGAUGUGAAAUCUCAGGCUAGAGUGGAUGCUGACUGAUGAGUUAUUUCACCUUGCAACAUCAAAGAAUCAGAAAAUUCCAGAGCAAACUCAUUCUAGAAGACAAGAUUAAUAGAUUGCUGGCCAAGACUCUGCUCUCCUCUCCAUGUUCCCUUUCCUUUUUACUUUAGUUGCUCAGGUAAAAAUAUGUGUUUAGAUGAAAGAAAUAAGCAUUUCUUAAAAGUGGUGCUUUGAACAGUGAAUGAUCAAUGAUCUUACCUG
This 1139-nucleotide long non-coding RNA is filed under the name Homo sapiens (human). RNAcentral's name for it is "HSALNT0337123". The record is from RNAcentral. Lineage: Eukaryota; Metazoa; Chordata; Mammalia; Primates; Hominidae.